UGUACAUAUAAAACCCCUUCUCGUUUGUUAAUGGGGAAAGGGACGGAGAGAGCGAGGAGAAAGAGAGCGCGGAGCGAGGGAAGAGAAGGGGAGGGAGUCGAAGGAACAGGACCGGGAGGGGUUGUGGUUGAGAUACUUUUUGUUCAACGGGAUUCUGGAGUAUUGGGAGAUACAAUGUAUAAUCUGGAUGGUGAAUGACUUCAUCACAAGAGGAUUAUUUUGGCAGUAUCCUAACACUUUCAUGGUGUAGAGGUAUAUGCUUCCUGAGUUCCUGUCUUGAUGGUAGUUGGUUCUGAUGAUAAAUUUUGCAACCCAAGGUGUUGUGUCAGAAUACAUGUUUCUGUGCGGACAUAUUGUGAAAAAAUAGACAUUAGAAGGAGCUUUGUAAAUCUCAAAUAUAAAAUCAAACAAAUGUAGCACAUGGAGACAUGGCAAGCAAGAAAGGUGAAGAAAUUAAUUGCAUGAGCAAGCAACAAGCAAGAAUUGUCAGUGUCUAUAUUCUACCGUUUUGAUUGGGCAAGUCAACUUUAGUGUCACUGAUGUAUUUAAUCUUUUUCACGGAGUGCUUUAAACCUGUUCUGCUAUGACUAGAGGUAUUUCUGACAUCGACGGUGGGGCAAGGGGUGAACUUGCUCCAAUUGGUUGUAUUUAUGUUAGCAUGAUGUUGGAAUUGUUGAUGCAUUGAUUUAAAUGCCACCUUUUGUGAACCAUGGACUUUCUUCAUUUAAAAUUUGAUUGUGAUGUUGAAAUUACUUCUGUAUGCUUUCAUACAUAUAAAUUAAGUAGUUGGCAUCUGAAGCCUAUUGGUAUUUUAGUUGAUUUAUGAAGUUAGCCUUCCCUGCAUGUCCCUGGUACCGAAUUCUUGUGAAGUUUGCAUCUAACUUUUUAGAAUGCUUGCAAAGUUUAAAAUAACAAUAACUUCUAUGUUCUCUGUCUUUUAAAUUUAUUUAUUUUUAAUUCAACAUUCUGAUUUCUGUCACCUUGUAAAUACGGGCUUGGAGUGUGAGUUGUACGCUUCUCACCUGAAAAAGAGAUGAGGAUCUUAUUGAGAUUCUUAGUUUUGUGACUUGUCUAUAAAACGGUGCAGAAAUUCGAAAAUUCUUGUGAUUGUAACACUAUUUUUUGGUUAUAUUUUCAUCUCUCUUGAUCUUCAAGUUGCCACAUGGUGGACACAACUAUAGAUUUUCUUAAUCCUUUGUGUUUGGUCAUGGUUAUCUGGUUUUGUUGGUUGUCUACAAGUGUGUUCUCAUUAAGCACUUUCUUGUUGUAGCAGUAAAUCCUAAUCUUUUGUGUUUGGUUAUGGUUAUGUGGAUUUAUUCACUGACUUUCCUGAUCCCUUAGGGCCUCUUUGGGAAAUCGAACAGGAUUGGGCUGGAGAAUUGGGAUUGUUAGCCUGUUCAGCCCAUUUUGUCUAAAGGCCCAUCUUAGUUUUGGCCUAAAUCCCAUCUAUGGUUCUAUAGGACUGCGGAAUAGAAAAACAAGGCACCUGUGGAUGCCUUUUUGUAUUCCCAUAGGAAUUGGACUGGAGAGGGAUUGGGUUGAUAUGGGCCUUACUUAAAUAGAUUAUAUAAUCCAUGAUCUUAUCUGAAAUCCAGCCCAAUUCUACAGAAUUUCCCAAGCAGGCCCUUAGCGGUAGGUUGUAGGUCAUUGGAUUUCAUUGCAGUGGUGUUGAUCUUUUUUUUUUUUUUUUUUUUUAUUUUUAUAUAUAUAUUUUGAAGUAGCACUCUUUGCAUAAUGUGGGUGGGUUACUUUUUCUUUAUAUUCAACCACAAGGACCGUCUUAUGUGCUUGAAUAAACACUUUGUAUGUAAUUUCAUUUAUUUUUAUAUUAUUUAUAGCAUGUUAAUUCAGCUAAGCAGCACCACUGAUUAAUUUAAACUAAAUUGGUUCAACUGCAAGAUCAAGAUUGAUUUUCUUUUAUUUUUUUGCAUGGAAAAUUAGGACGUUUGAAUGUCAUAGGAAGCCGAGCUGAUCUGGUCUAAGAUCAUGUUUCAGUUCUUGAGUUACUAGAAAUUUAGUUAAUCUUUUGGUAACUGUGAGGGUCCUUUUCUUUGGAGAAAGUAUCUGCUCUUCAUGGUGAAAGCGGGAAAGGUUUUUUCUCCCACCCCCAAACCGACUUUUUUUGUCAGGCAGUGUUUGUGUACAGUAACAUGUGUAAGAUUGAAUAAAACAUGACAUAAAGUGGUUGCGUCAUAAUGAUUUUUUGUUUCUUCAUUGCUGUAAAUUUUAUUUAUCUGUUCCGUAUCACUUUGAGAUGCAGUCAGCCUGCACUAUGUCAGUGUCAUUCAAAAUUAAUUGGAGAUGCCAGUGAAAGAAAUGAUUCGGUGAAUCCAUGGUUGAAGGAAAGACAAGAAGGUAGGACACGGAGAGGUAAAUCAUGUAGUGGGAUCCUCUCUCGUGGUCCUCCUCUCGGUGCUGUCCGUACUCCAUCUCUGGAGUUGUCACUUCUCUCUUUCACUUUCCGUCGAUCAAAUGAGUUUUCAGCCAUCCAGAGAAUGGAGAGAGGAGUCAAGGGAGGGAGAGCGAGAGAGACUCAAGAAAGGAGCGAGUACCUGACUGGGAGGUCAAUGCUCUAGUGGUCGUCUCAGCGCUUCCGGUGCAAGUGAACCAAGGUUAAUCCGGGAGCAUAUGCAUGGUGGAGAGCGCGCAACGGGAAUCGGUGAAACACAAGGGGUAGCGUGGCAUGUUAUCCACCGUGGGGUUUGCACGGUCCAAUUGCAUCUGGUGCAUGCAAUACGGAGGGCCAAUUUAGGGUCCUCCAGUUAUAUCCUCUAGUUAUAUUUCCAUUUCUAUAUAAAGUCUGGACAAGAUGUAAAUCCAAGGACCACCCAACUGUUAGAUAUCGGUUUCUUUAAUAUCAAUGCAAAGUAAUGCCUGUAUGCUUGAUUUGGCGAGCAGCAUUGCCAUUCUCCAUCUCAAGGCUUCUGAAGUGCCAUGCUCUAAGCAAAGUAUCACUUAGCAGGUAGAAGUACCACCCUAGGAAAGUGCAACAACGUUUGGAAAGUUAUUAGAUAGUUCAUUCAUACAUAUCUUUAAUUCUAACUUAAUAUUUAGAUAUAUAAUUAAUUAAUAAUAGUUAAUAUAUUUAUCAUGUCAUGGCUCAUUCCCGGUUGACCCACCGAUAGUUGAACGGGUGACACAUAACCUGGGUGCAAUCAGCAGUCCAGGUUUUAAAACAUUGGUUGUUUUUGGCCCAUCGCAGGUUGAAUGUCUAUUUAAUUUAGAUAAAUUCUUUAUGCACCGCUGAUGGUGCAGAAUGCGGUCACUGUUCGUGAUGAUCGAUUUACACAUGAAGUCAAAAAUACGGCAUGACAAAAAAAAAAAAAAAUUUAAGCAUCAUGCGUGAGCUAAUCACCGCCAUCCAUAAUUUUCCACUGUACGUGGUGCACAAAAAAUCUAUCUUUAAUUUAAAAAGCUCCGCAUGCAGGUUUUUUUGACAGAGCAACCUAUUUAUUUAUAAUUAGGAGAAUAAUAAUCAAGAAAGGGGUAUUUAUAUGCUCAAAAUGUUGUUCUUUAUGUUCAUUUAAUCCUGACGGUAAAAUGGAAUCCCGUUUCUGCUGACCUCUCUCUUUCUUUCUUUUCGGCUUGGCGCCUUUUGUCUUUCUCAUGGGAUCUUGUGACUGCUGGGGCCACCAAGGGGCCUACACGCUGUAUAUUAUUGGUGCCAACCAAGCCAGCCAAGUGGGACUUGGCCCAGGAGGCGCUGGAGGAGCUACAUGCUGAUUACAACCAUGUUGUAGAAGAGGUAAAGGAGCUGACAGCUAGCCUCCCUCUUCUCAAGGGAAGAGGAAGAACAAUAAUCCCAUCUCACAUGCUACGUUCGCUCAUGUGAGAUUAUUAUUAUUAUUACUACUACUAUCAUCGUUAUUUUGUUUCUAUUUCACGUGGUGUUGAUUUCAAUGGGGAAGAUUCAGAUGCCAUGUGUUCUUGUGGGGAACUAAGGCGCAAAGUUGUUCCAUUGUUCUUGUUUGUCGAACAUGAUGAUGGAUGAUGGAUGUGUUAGCCGGAUGCCGGAUCCCAGGCAUUGUUAUAUUUCGGUGAUAGGUUUGUUUGGAGAUAUUUUUUAAAAUAUUCUUUUUCAUUC
Long non-coding RNA from Elaeis guineensis (African oil palm), 4084 nucleotides. RefSeq lists it as uncharacterized. Lineage: Eukaryota; Viridiplantae; Streptophyta; Magnoliopsida; Arecales; Arecaceae. The record is from RefSeq and is a predicted model, not a curated record.